This 464-nucleotide ribosomal RNA is filed under the name uncultured bacterium. RNAcentral describes it as "SSU rRNA". It matches the Rfam family "Bacterial small subunit ribosomal RNA", at positions 26 to 518 of the family's 1533-position model. The record is from RNAcentral.
AGGACGAACGCUGGCGGUGUGCUUCACACAUGCAAGUCGAACGAGGUAGCAAUACCUAGUGGCGGACGGGUGAGUAACACGUAGGAAUCUGCCCUCGAGUGGGGGAUAGCAAGCCGAAAGGCUUAUUAAUACCGCAUACGUAUUUCAAGAGACAUCUUGAUUUAUGAAAGGAGUAAUCCGCUCGAAGAUGAGCCUGCGUCCGAUUAGCUAGUUGGUGGGUAAAGGCCUACCAAGGCGACGAUCGGUAGCUGGUCUGAGAGGACGAUCAGCCACAAUGGGACUGAGACACGGCCCAUACUCCUACGGGAGGCAGCAGUGGGGAAUUUUACGCAAUGGGGGAAACCCUGACGUAGCGACACCGCGUGAGCGAAGAAGCCCUUUGGGGUGUAAAGCUCUGUCGACUGGAACGAAAAAAUGACGGUACCAGUAGAGGAAGCAUCGGCUAACUACGUGCCAGCAGCCGC